CCUACGGGAGGCACCAGUGGGGAAUAUUGCACAAUGGGCGCAAGCCUGAUGCAGCCAUGCCGCGUGUGUGAAGAAGGCCUUCGGGUUGUAAAGCAUUUUCAGCGGGGAGGAAGGCGAUAAGGUUAAUAACCUUGUCGAUUGACGUUACCCGCAGAAGAAGCACCGGCUAACUCCGUGCCAGCAGCCGCGGUAAUACGGAGGGUGCUAGCGUUAAUCGGAAUUACUGGGCGUAAAGCGCACGCAGGCGGUCUGUCAAGUCGGAUGUGAAAUCCCCGGGCUCAACCUGGGAACUGCAUUCGAAACUGGCAGGCUAGAGUCUUGUAGGGGGGGUAGGAUUCCAGGUGUAGCGGUGAAAUGCGUAGAGAUCUGGAGGAGUACCGGUGGCGAAGGCGGCCCCCUGGACAAAGACUGACGCUCAGGUGCGAAAGCGUGGGGAGCAAACAGGAUUAGAUACCCGUGUAGUC
RNAcentral lists this ribosomal RNA (464 nucleotides) under uncultured bacterium. RNAcentral describes it as "bacterial SSU rRNA". It matches the Rfam family "Bacterial small subunit ribosomal RNA", at positions 338 to 795 of the family's 1533-position model. The record is from RNAcentral.